UACGGGGGGGGCAAGCGUUGUUCGGAAUUACUGGGCGUAAAGGGCUCGUAGGUGGCCAACUAAGUCGGACGUGAAAUCCCUCAGCUUAACUGGGGAACUGCGUCCGAUACUGGAUGGCUCGAGUUUGGGAGAGGGAUGCGGAAUUCCAGGUGUAGCGGUGAAAUGCGUAGAUAUCUGGAGGAACACCGGUGGCGAAGGCGGCAGCCUGGACCGAUACUGACGCUGAGGAGCGAAAGCCAGGGGAGAAAACGGG
This 253-nucleotide ribosomal RNA is filed under the name uncultured bacterium. RNAcentral's name for it is "partial 16S ribosomal RNA". It matches the Rfam family "Bacterial small subunit ribosomal RNA", at positions 524 to 776 of the family's 1533-position model. The record is from RNAcentral.